AGCAGCCGCGGUAAUUCCAGCUCCAAUAGCGUAUAUUAAAGUUGUUGCAGUUAAAAAGCUCGUAGUUGAAUUUCGGGAUCAAUACGUCGGUCGUGCUUUCGGGUACGUACUGGCGUCAUUGGUUUCUCCUUUCUGACGAACCAUGAUGUCAUUAAUUUGGUGUUAUGGGGAGUUAGGACUGUUACUUUGAAAAAAUUAGAGUGUUUAAAGCAGGCUCACGCUUGAAUACAUUAGCAUGGAAUAAUGAAAUAGGACGUUUGAUUCUAUUUUGUUGGUUUCUAGGAUCGACGUAAUGAUUAAUAGGGAUAGUUGGGGGCAUUAGUAUUCAAUUGUCAGAGGUGAAAUUCUUGGAUUUAUUGAAGACUAACUACUGCGAAAGCAUUUGCCAAGGAUGUUUUCAUUAAUCAAGAACGAAAGUUAGGGGAUCGAAGACGAUCAGAUACCGUCGUA
Molecule: ribosomal RNA, 450 nt
Filed under: uncultured Glomeromycotina
Lineage: Eukaryota; Fungi; Glomeromycota
Description: SSU rRNA
Rfam family: Eukaryotic small subunit ribosomal RNA
Source: RNAcentral